UUAAGCGACUAAGCGUACACGGUGGAUGCCCUGGCAGUCAGAGGCGAUGAAGGACGUGCUAAUCUGCGAAAAGCGUCGGUAAGGUGAUAUGAACCGUUAUAGCCGGCGAUGUCCGAAUGGGGAAACCCAGUGCAAUUCGUUGCACUAUCGUUAACUGAAUACAUAGGUUAACGAGGCGAACCGGGGGAACUGAAACAUCUAAGUACCCCGAGGAAAAGAAAUCAACCGAGAUUCCCCCAGUAGCGGCGAGCGAACGGGGAGCAGCCCAGAGUCUGAAUCAGCUUGUGUGUUAGUGGAACGGUCUGGAAAGUCCGACGGUACAGGGUGAUAGUCCCGUACACCAAAAUGCACAGGCUGUGAACUCGAAGAGUAGGGCGGGACACGUGGUAUCCUGUCUGAAUAUGGGGGGACCAUCCUCCAAGGCUAAAUACUCCUGACUGACCGAUAGUGAACCAGUACCGUGAGGGAAAGGCGAAAAGAACCCCGGCGAGGGGAGUGAAAAAGAACCUGAAACCGUGUACGUACAAGCAGUGGGAGCACCUUCGGGUGUGACUGCGUACCUUUUGUAUAAUGGGUCAGCGACUUAUAUUCUGUAGCAAGGUUAACCGUAUAGGGGAGCCGCAGGGAAACCGAGUCUUAACUGGGCGUUAAGUUGCAGGGUAUAGACCCGAAACCCGGUGAUCUAGCCAUGGGCAGGUUGAAGGUUGGGUAACACUAACUGGAGGACCGAACCGACUAAUGUUGAAAAAUUAGCGGAUGACUUGUGGCUGGGGGUGAAAGGCCAAUCAAACCGGGAGAUAGCUGGUUCUCCCCGAAAGCUAUUUAGGUAGCGCCUCGUGAAUUCAUCUUCGGGGGUAGAGCACUGUUUCGGCUAGGGGGUCAUCCCGACUUACCAACCCGAUGCAAACUACGAAUACCGAAGAAUGUUAUCACGGGAGACACACGGCGGGUGCUAACGUCCGUCGUGAAGAGGGAAACAACCCAGACCGCCAGCUAAGGUCCCAAAGUCAUGGUUAAGUGGGAAACGAUGUGGGAAGGCACAGACAGCCAGGAUGUUGGCUUAGAAGCAGCCAUCAUUUAAAGAAAGCGUAAUAGCUCACUGGUCGAGUCGGCCUGCGCGGAAGAUGUAACGGGGCUAAACCAUGCACCGAAGCUGCGGCAGCGACACGAUGUGUUGUUGGGUAGGGGAGCGUUCUGUAAGCCUGCGAAGGUGUGCUGUGAGGCAUGCUGGAGGUAUCAGAAGUGCGAAUGCUGACAUAAGUAACGAUAAAGCGGGUGAAAAGCCCGCUCGCCGGAAGACCAAGGGUUCCUGUCCAACGUUAAUCGGGGCAGGGUGAGUCGACCCCUAAGGCGAGGCCGAAAGGCGUAGUCGAUGGGAAACAGGUUAAUAUUCCUGUACUUGGUGUUACUGCGAAGGGGGGACGGAGAAGGCUAUGUUAGCCGGGCGACGGUUGUCCCGGUUUAAGCAUGUAGGCUGGUUAUCCAGGCAAAUCCGGAUAAUCAAGGCUGAGGUGUGAUGACGAGGCACUACGGUGCUGAAGUAACAAAUGCCCUGCUUCCAGGAAAAGCCUCUAAGCAUCAGGUAACAUCAAAUCGUACCCCAAACCGACACAGGUGGUCAGGUAGAGAAUACCAAGGCGCUUGAGAGAACUCGGGUGAAGGAACUAGGCAAAAUGGUGCCGUAACUUCGGGAGAAGGCACGCUGGUGUGUAGGUGAAGUCCCUGCGGAUGGAGCUGAGACCAGUCGAAGAUACCAGCUGGCUGCAACUGUUUAUUAAAAACACAGCACUGUGCAAACACGAAAGUGGACGUAUACGGUGUGACGCCUGCCCGGUGCCGGAAGGUUAAUUGAUGGGGUUAUCCGUAAGGAGAAGCUCUUGAUCGAAGCCCCGGUAAACGGCGGCCGUAACUAUAACGGUCCUAAGGUAGCGAAAUUCCUUGUCGGGUAAGUUCCGACCUGCACGAAUGGCGUAAUGAUGGCCAGGCUGUCUCCACCCGAGACUCAGUGAAAUUGAACUCGCUGUGAAGAUGCAGUGUACCCGCGGCAAGACGGAAAGACCCCGUGAACCUUUACUAUAGCUUGACACUGAACAUUGAGCCUUGAUGUGUAGGAUAGGUGGGAGGCUUUGAAGCGUGGACGCCAGUCUGCGUGGAGCCAACCUUGAAAUACCACCCUUUAAUGUUUGAUGUUCUAACGUUGGCCCCUUACCGGGGUUGCGGACAGUGUCUGGUGGGUAGUUUGACUGGGGCGGUCUCCUCCCAAAGCGUAACGGAGGAGCACGAAGGUUAGCUAAUCCUGGUCGGACAUCAGGAGGUUAGUGCAAUGGCAUAAGCUAGCUUGACUGCGAGCGUGACGGCGCGAGCAGGUGCGAAAGCAGGUCAUAGUGAUCCGGUGGUUCUGAAUGGAAGGGCCAUCGCUCAACGGAUAAAAGGUACUCCGGGGAUAACAGGCUGAUACCGCCCAAGAGUUCAUAUCGACGGCGGUGUUUGGCACCUCGAUGUCGGCUCAUCACAUCCUGGGGCUGAAGUAGGUCCCAAGGGUAUGGCUGUUCGCCAUUUAAAGUGGUACGCGAGCUGGGUUUAGAACGUCGUGAGACAGUUCGGUCCCUAUCUGCCGUGGGCGCUGGAGAAUUGAGGGGGGCUGCUCCUAGUACGAGAGGACCGGAGUGGACGCAUCACUGGUGUUCGGGUUGUCAUGCCAAUGGCACUGCCCGGUAGCUAAAUGCGGAAGAGAUAAGUGCUGAAAGCAUCUAAGCACGAAACUUGCCCCGAGAUGAGUUCUCCCUGAGACUUUAAGUCUCCUGAAGGAACGUUGAAGACGACGACGUUGAUAGGCCGGGUGUGUAAGCGCAGCGAUGCGUUGAGCUAACCGGUACUAAUGAACCGUGAGGCUUAACCUU
Molecule: ribosomal RNA, 2900 nt
Filed under: Klebsiella pneumoniae
Lineage: Bacteria; Pseudomonadati; Pseudomonadota; Gammaproteobacteria; Enterobacterales; Enterobacteriaceae
Description: bacterial LSU rRNA
Rfam family: Bacterial large subunit ribosomal RNA
Source: RNAcentral